UUUUAAGAAAGCUCAGACAACUUGCCAUGGCAGUUCUGUUGCUCACUAAUGUGCUGGAAUUAAGGUUCCAACUAUAAGAUGGUAUUGAGAAAAUGUGUUACAGAACCAGGAAGAAAGUACAAACAUAUUUGAGGUGCCCUGGCUCCAUGAGGAAGGAUCACACCCUGGCAUUAAAGGAGAAUCACUUUGGGAAAAAGACAGGUUCAUUUGCCAAAUAUAGCCAAUGCCUGCAUAUUUCUGUUUUAAGGAAACAUUAUGUUACCCUUCCAUCUAAUAAGUGCUCUCUUUGGAAAGAGCCUCCA
Molecule: small RNA, 302 nt
Filed under: Rattus norvegicus (Norway rat)
Lineage: Eukaryota; Metazoa; Chordata; Mammalia; Rodentia; Muridae
Description: uncharacterized LOC108350601
Source: RNAcentral